Long non-coding RNA from Anolis sagrei ordinatus, 1279 nucleotides. RefSeq lists it as uncharacterized. NCBI's taxonomy places the organism in Eukaryota, Metazoa, Chordata, Lepidosauria, Squamata, Anolidae. The record is from RefSeq and is a predicted model, not a curated record.
CCCCGCGCGCGUAACGAGGCAACGCCUGGGUAGCGUCUACUGGGGCUCGAGGAAAUCACGUGACCGAGGAUCAGUCGCGUGAACGCCGCGUGACCCCUUUGCAAUCGGCCUGGCUCAAUGCUCAGGAGCAGGCCUGGCAAACAUCGGCCCUCCAGUGCUGGAAAUGAAGACCCUCGCUGACACGGGACCCAAAUGGAUGCAGCCUGCUCUUCAGCUGGGCUUGUCUUCACCUUCCUCAGAUUCUUACAAGCUGAAUGGGGCACGAAUUCAGAGGCUUGAGCUAUGCAGAUGCAGAGAGAGAGAGAGAGUUUGAAGAGAGAAGCACAGCAAGAGAGACAGACUGAUUUACUUCUGGCUGCUGAAAGAAGGUUUAUCCAACAUGGACAAAGAAAGACCAUUUUAAAUCUCUCAUGAAAAGGACUUUAUAACAUAGUUGUUACCUGCACGGCACAUCUUGCAACAACGUUGACCGUUAUAAGGAUAUUCUCCAUCAUUACAGCGAAACGGUGGAGAUUCAGCCUAAAAGAUUAAGAAAGAUAAAUUUCAAGCAACAAAGUAUAUUAUUCUAUCUUAAAUAUGUGACUUCAUGGCUUUUUAAAAAAUCAUAUUUUGUUAGCUAUCAUGUUCACAUGAAGAAAGUGCUUUGCUACAUUUUCAAAAAGUUAGAAACGUAUUUCAGUGUUGAACAAAAAUUGUUUAUUCCAUCCCAUCUCUCUCAAGAAGAGAGCUUGAAAUAUUUUAUAUUUCGACAACAACAAGAUCCUGCAGCCAACAUGGAGGAUUCCAUGAUGUGAAGUCUAAUAAACUAGUUUUCACAAACUUUACAAUAUUGAUUCCCAAACUUUGGUCCUUCAGCUCUUUUGGGCUUCCCAGAAUUCCUGAUAGUUGGCCAAGCUAAAUGGGGUUUCAGAGAAUCAUAAAAUUGGAGGAGACCACAAGGGCCAAGAAUCAGUGCCAAUGGGGAAAUGUAAAAGUAUGGACAGAUAUAAUUAGAUGAUAGGUAGAUUUUAUUUGUUUGUGGCACACUGUCCACUUCAAAACCUUAUGUUAAUACAGUACACAGUAUACUCUCAGUCUACUGGCAUUCAUUGAGAUUUGUAGAUGCUAGGUAAGGGCAACUUCUAGUUGCUUGAGAGUUACUAUUAAAAACAGGCCUAUCUAAUACCAACAUAUUAUAUCCCACACCAUAAACUCUGUGUUGAUAUGAUAAUAAUAUUUAAAUGCAGCAAUUAAAUGCAAAUCAAGAUAAAUAAAGACAAAUUUAUCUUAAUAUAACAAA